CAAGUGUCUAUCAAUAGAUGAAUGGAUAAAGAAGAUAAGUGGUAUAUAUGCACAAUGGAAUAUCAUUCAUCCAUAAAAAAGAAUGAAAUCUUGUCAUCUGCGACAACACGGAUAGAGCUAGAAAGUAUCAUGCUGAGCGAAAUAAGUCAGUCAGAGAAAGACAAAUACUGCAUGAUCUCACUCAUGUGUGGAAUUUAAGAAACAAAACAAAUGAGCAAAGG
Long non-coding RNA from Leopardus geoffroyi (Geoffroy's cat), 221 nucleotides. RefSeq lists it as uncharacterized. The record is from RefSeq and is a predicted model, not a curated record. Lineage: Eukaryota; Metazoa; Chordata; Mammalia; Carnivora; Felidae. The transcript is spliced from 2 exons.